CCCUUAGAUGUUCUGGGCCGCACGCGCGCUACAAUGAUGAAUUCAACGAGUUUAUAACCUUGGUUGAAAAGCCUGGGUAAUCUUUUGAACUUUCGUCGUGAUGGGGCUAGACCCUUGCAAUUAUUGGUCUCCAACGAGGAAUUCCUAGUAAACGCAAGUCAUCAGCUUGCAUUGAUUACGUCCCUGCCCUUUGUACACACCGCCCGUCGCACCUACCGAUUGAAUGGUCCGGUGAAAUCUUCGGAUUGAGACUUUGAUUUCUUCACGGAAAACGCUGUUUUAAAAAGUUGAUUAAACCUUACCAUUGAGAGGAAGGUGAAGUCGUAACA
This 329-nucleotide ribosomal RNA is filed under the name uncultured eukaryote. Its description in RNAcentral is "partial 18S ribosomal RNA". It matches the Rfam family "Eukaryotic small subunit ribosomal RNA", at positions 1470 to 1796 of the family's 1831-position model. The record is from RNAcentral.